AUACUUACCUGGUGCCGAGAUAACCACGAUCAGCGAGGUGGUGUCUCCAGGGUGAGGCACGGGCAUUGCACUGCGCUCGUGUUGACCCCUGCCACUACCCCAAACUGGGGCAGAUGGGGCAUGUAAUUUUUGGUAGUGGGGGACUGCGUUCGCGCUAUCCCCCU
RNAcentral lists this small nuclear RNA (164 nucleotides) under Dermacentor silvarum. Its description in RNAcentral is "U1 spliceosomal RNA". It matches the Rfam family "U1 spliceosomal RNA". From Rfam's summary of the family: U1 is a small nuclear RNA (snRNA) component of the spliceosome (involved in pre-mRNA splicing). Its 5' end forms complementary base pairs with the 5' splice junction, thus defining the 5' donor site of an intron. Lineage: Eukaryota; Metazoa; Arthropoda; Arachnida; Ixodida; Ixodidae. The record is from RNAcentral.